ACUGAAUCAGCUGAGGUGAAGGAGAAAGUCAGCAGCAGCAAGCCACAGAAGUCAGACUAAAGCAUUCAAGUUGGGAAUGAGAGAAAGAGGGAGCCAGUGAAGGGCUUCCUCAGGAUGGGCCAGGCCGGGGUGAGCUGGGCGCACCUUCAGGCUGCAGUGCACGGCGGACUCGGGUGGGUACACGAUGAAAUGGCGCAGGGUGAAGCCGAAGCCGUCCUGAAGACUCUUGUGCAGCAGCAGUGUCCGCGGCCCCUGCCAGGGGAAGGGGCGCCCAGGAGAGCACCCAUCUCUUGGGCCCAGUGGCAGCUGUGGGAGCACAGGGAGAUGGCUGGAGAAAAAUCGAAUUUGCCACUCAAAUGCACUGAUGCUAAGAAGUUCCAUCAUCCAUCCAUCCACUCUCCUGUUAACACAUCUGGCGGAAGGAAGCCUGCCCUAGGUCCAGGGCUAUG
This is a long non-coding RNA of Molossus molossus (Pallas's mastiff bat), 449 nucleotides long. RefSeq lists it as uncharacterized. The record is from RefSeq and is a predicted model, not a curated record. Lineage: Eukaryota; Metazoa; Chordata; Mammalia; Chiroptera; Molossidae. The transcript has 3 exons.